RNAcentral lists this ribosomal RNA (583 nucleotides) under uncultured bacterium. RNAcentral describes it as "bacterial SSU rRNA". It matches the Rfam family "Bacterial small subunit ribosomal RNA", at positions 338 to 916 of the family's 1533-position model. The record is from RNAcentral.
CCUACGGGAGGCAGCAGUUUCGAAUCGUUCACAAUGGGGGCAACCCUGAUGGCGCGACGCCGCGUGGGGGAUGAAGGUCUUCGGAUUGUAAACUCCUGUCAUUGGGGACUAACGGCCAGGCUCAUACCCUGGUUUGAAUUAACCCAAAGAGGAAGCAGUGGCUAACUCUGUGCCAGCAGCCGCGGUAAUACAGAGACUGCAAGCGUUACUCGGAUUCACUGGGCGUAAAGGGAGCGCAGGCGGAUUAGUGUGUCAGGCGUGAAAUCCCGGGGCUCAACCCCGGUACCGCGCCCGAAACUACUAAUCUAGAGACUUGGAGGGGUAAGCGGAAUUCUUGGUGGAGCAGUGAAAUGCGUAGAUAUCAAGAGGAACACCAACGGCGAAGGCAGCUUACUGGACAAGAUCUGACGCUCAGGCUCGAAAGCGUGGGGAGCAAAAGGGAUUAGAUACCCCUGUAGUCCACGCUGUAAACGGUGCGCAUUAGGUCUUGGAGCUUUCGAACGCUCCAGGGCUCAAGCUAACGCAUUAAAUGCGCCGCCUGAGGACUACGGCCGCAAGGCUAAAACUCAAAUGAAAUUGACGG